GGACAGCAGAGCAAUAGCAGGGAUUCUGCAACUCUAAGGAAUGAUGCCUGUUGAUGUCUGUCCCAAGGAUAGGGGAUCCCAGUGGGCCUGGCUUGAGAUGGGACAAUGCUAUAGCAAGAAGUCUGUGGUCCCAGAGUCUGACACCUCAGAGAGAAGCAGCAUGACGUCUGGAACUUCAGAUUCAGAUAUACAACAAGAAAACAAAGUAUCGAAAGUGUCCCUGGAUACCGGACAGAUGGCGUUUACCUUGGCCCAACUUGAGUCAUUGGAGACUUGUCUGAAAGAAGCAGAAGAAAAGGCUAAAGCUUUAUCUGAACAGGUAACACCUGUUAUGGGAACUGGAAACAAAUGUUCCUCAGUGUGCAGC
Molecule: long non-coding RNA, 367 nt
Filed under: Rhinopithecus bieti (black snub-nosed monkey)
Lineage: Eukaryota; Metazoa; Chordata; Mammalia; Primates; Cercopithecidae
Description: lncRNA (ENSRBIG00000045786.1)
Source: RNAcentral